Xenopus laevis (African clawed frog) is the source of this 5040-nucleotide RNA transcript. RefSeq lists it as uncharacterized. The record is from RefSeq and is a predicted model, not a curated record. The transcript is spliced from 6 exons. Lineage: Eukaryota; Metazoa; Chordata; Amphibia; Anura; Pipidae.
CAUAACAGGUCCCAUACCUCUACUUUUUUUUUAACAAGCUCACUCGUUACAAGAUUCUACCUCAUGAUCUAAGACUAAGUAUAAUUCCUCAGGUGCAUGGGAAUAAAAAGUCUCUGCUCCCAAUCAUGAUUUGACCCCAGAUUUUCCCAGAGUCAGAAUGCAGUUAUGUACUCACAGUCACAACUUAUGUAGCUGACAAACAUUGCAUUCUACUGUGACGUAAGUGACCAAGCUUAAGUGUUUCACAAUUAUAAUAACAUAUAAACAAUAAGAUAUAGAGGAGGAAAUCUUCAGUCUCUUUGUGCCCUUAUUGCCCAAUAAAUGUGGCCUUUACUCAUAGCAUAUGUCAAUUGGGGGGUCGGGAGUCCAUAUGACUAUUCAACCAGGCUGAAGGGACCUGCCCCAGUUCCAAAGGCAAUCCAACUGCAAAAACGUUUAUAUCAAAAAAUAUAUAUGUCCCAAGGCCUCUUAGAGUAAAAACAAAUAAUUUAUUGCUAAUCACAUUUAAAAAAGUAUUCGGUACAUACUAACCCCCACAUAUCCCACCCCAUGCGUCUCGCACCCUCGGGCGCUUAGUCAUAGGCAUGACACGCUAUUAGUAAUAAAACAUUUGUUCCAGUUCCAUUAACUCAAAGCUAUCAAUCAGUAGUUGCUGGUCUGCUGUUAAAAAGGGAAUAUCUGAUAGGCUGUUGUGACCAACAACACCUGUAGUAAAUCUUGCUGCUACUUUUUCUUCAACCUUGUUACAGGGCCUAGUUACACUGGCAUUUUGGAGUUUAUUUACCUUGUGAGCAGAUUAGAGGCAGGAAGGAAGGAAUUUUCUGUGCGCAGGGGCAUAACCACAGAGGAAGCAGACCCUGCUGCUGUAGGGGGGCCCCAUGAGGCCCUAAUUCAUAUACAUUUUGAAUAAAUACUGGUAAAAUAAAUCAACCUCUAGACAUUUUUGGGGCCUGAAAAACAAUUUGCUGUGGGGCCCAGUAAUAUCUAUUUACGCCACUGUCUGUGUGAAGUGCUGAAUGUGAUGGACAUGUGCCUUUAACCCUCAUGCUAUGAGUUCUCUGUCAGCUUAUCACAACAUGUAUUUUAUUAGUAUGAUGUAGGCGGUAGUAUGGUAAGACAACUUGCCAUUUGUCUUCUUACUUUAUACUGCUUUCUCUCCAGCAACCAAGAGGAAUUUAGGAACUCAGAAUGGGAAGCAGGCUGGGAUUUGCAGCAAAUCCUGCUGAACCAGCCUGACCCAGAAUUACCUGUAAUUACCUAAUUUGCUUCCAUGUGUUGUGACAAGCUUGUGGUGCACACAGAUGCAUAUGUACUCCACGUAUACUAUCUACAUGACCUUUCACUGUAUACAGACAAUAUAACACAUUAUGAAAGUGUUCUGCAAACUUUGCUCUUGGCAGAUAAGUGCUAUUCGUGCAGGUAAGGGCAGAAACUGAAAGCAUGACAUGAAGACGAGCCAGCCUCUCCCUAAAGUGGCAUGUCAGAAUGUAGAAUGAGAGAUUAAAUGCGGUCAGUGAAUGUUCUUCCCCUUCUAAGACAACAAGGCUACAGUCAUGCAUAGGGCUAGGUGCAUAGCCUGUCAGUUAAAGAUUCAGGGCAGAGUAUAACAUUGACAGGCGCAAGUAGGCCUGGCCGGUAAAAUGAUGGCUGAUCCCAAUGUUAUUAAUAGGGAAAAAAGAUAAAUAUAUAGGAAGCCUAUAGCAAUUCCUACAGGGCGCUUGCAGCAGAAUCGCCAAUACACCACGGAAACACCAUAUAAUUGAACUCUUUUAGAUCUGCAGGUUUGGAAAUACAAUUAGCUGAAAUACGCUGCGUAUUUUCAACAUGACGGCCAAACUGUCGCAAGAUGGAUUUCGCAUAUACGUAUUUACGGCGUAUGCUGGUGACGUAAUUAUGUUGCGUAUGGACUAGCAGUACGGCUACAUUCUGCAUGUAAAUUGGUUUCCACUUGGCUUUAUUCGCAAAACUUUACUAAAAAACUAGAAUUGUGGAGAAUGCGAAAAAAAAAAAACCAGAAAUGCAUGUUGGGAAAAGUAAACGACAGGCUGAGAAACGAAUUUUAUUGUAUGUGUGGUUUCACUGGCGUAUUUACGCUCGACCGCGCAUUUUUAAAAACGCCAUGUGUGACCUUGCCCUAAAACUCUUAGCACAUCAUUUUGGGAAUUACACCUCAGAGUAGUAAAAGUUAACUGAACUAGGGAGAGAGGCAAGGGCCAAAAAAUGUUGCUGGGGCCAGUUUUGCACUUCACACAUAUCAGUCAGAAACAGGAAGUGAAGGACAGAAGUCGGAAGUGCACAAGCUGGGGUUAACAAAAUGGUGGCGAUGCCCCAGGGAAAAGCAUUACAAUCUCUUUACACCGCUCAAACUAUCCAGUAGAAUUUAUUGAAGAGACCAGGGUGUCUUCUUUCUGUAGGGACUGGGGUUACAAAAUGUAUUACUCGCCCAGAAUCUCCACAGUUCAUCUGCUCAGCUUGAGAGAAGCGCCCAUUACCUGAGCGAGAGGUGACGGUGCAAUACAAGAGCCUCUCUAAGGCAUUUGAACUGUUUUCUACAUUUAACUACAUAUUGUUUCACUAUCACUCUACAUUACUACAACUUUUUUGUUUUAAAUAAAACAUGCACACUCUCUUCUUUAUACCCAGCAGCAGGGCAGCCGCCAUCAUAGGGGCACAACUGUUCAGAGACCCAGUCAUUUGUCCAAAACAAAUUCUAAACAUUGGCUAAAAUGGUUGCAGUUGAUAUGGUGCUGAGAAGAGAAUGGAGUGCAGGCAGUCCACGCGUUUAGUUGCUGAACAGCGAGACGUUCUAGCCUUCAAUACACCUGCAAUACAACUAAUGACCAGCAGAUGGUGAUUUGUCGCACAAGCGACUCCAAGCGCUUGAAUGAAGUUAAAGGAGUCCGUGCAGCAGCAGCAGCAGGUACAAAAGGAGGAGAGUGAACUGAGCUGCAGUUGGAGACUGUCAGAAGGGGAUACAGCAGGAAUUUGGGUAGAAAAGUGAGAGUGGGGCGGAGGCAAAAGCAGGAAUAGGGGAAUAUUGGAAUCCGGGGCUGGAGCGAGCAGCCAGGAGCAAAGGAGGCGCGUCAGGUAAUAAUAUGAUCCUCUAUCAGUUCCUGUGUAUGUCCAGGGCAGGGGGAGCUGAGAUAUCCUGCAGGACUUUGGGAUGGGGCAAGAUCCGUGUACUGGGGCUGGGGGCUGAUGUAGGCAGUGGCGGAUUAAGGACAUGUGAGGCCGUCCUGUUUUCCGCGGGACACUUUUUUGCCGGCUGUCCCGGAUAGUGGACUCAAUGUCCCGGUCCCGCAUAAGUUGGCAGAAUCAAAACAGGUAAGCAGGGAGUAGUGGGCAGUAUAGAGACGUAGGCAGGGAGUAGCCCACAAGCGCGGCAGGGAGUAGCCCACAAGCGCGGCAGGGAAUUGCACAGCAGCUAAAAAGAACAGCACCGGCCAUGGUAACCCUGCCCUGUUCUACUGCAACUACCACAAAGUUUGCGACUGCGCUAGAGCGGCGUAUGACGUACACUUCUAGCGCUGACACUGCCCCAUAUGGUAAGCAUUUCCGGCGGAAGUGGUAAUAGGCUUCCGCGUCGCGGCAAUUUUGAAUCUCAGUGUUACUUGUUGCUGUUGUUCAUCAUCUUCAGAACAGUGGAAUAACAUAUCAUUAUAUAGGCACAAGAAUGCAGACAAAAACGGGACUUUCCAGUACAAAUGAGGGACUGCAGGUUGAGCUGUCAAAAGAGGGACCUCUAAAAACAGGACAGUUGGGAGAGAAGACGGGGAAUUGGAAGAGGGUGAAGUACAAGAUUUAGGUGUAGAAGAGAAGCCUCGAGAAAUAAGGAAAUAGAAGACCAACGGGAAGUCCACAAAGAGAAAAGAAAGGCCAAAAAAGAAAGGAAAACAUCACAGACAAGAGAAACACAGGAAUGCAGGAACUGGAGGGCAACCACCAUCUCUGCUGUGUAGAACAUGAUUGUCGACAUUGGCAGACCUCCUUCACGCAUAAUCAUUUGCCAUAAAGAUUUCCCACUGGCAUACUCCAGGACAAAGAAGGCUUCAAGCUGGCGAUACACUUGCAUCAAGAGUGGCUGCUUCACAGCUUUCAUGUUUUGGCUGCCCUGAACUAAUCGCUAAAAGUUGGCAAGAUCAUGGGGAUAUUGCUAUGAAACUGCAAACUGAUCUGGAACACCUGAAAAAGAUCCGCGCUAAAGUCUGGAAGCAAAGGAUAUCCAGCCCACUUUUCAACACUAAACAAUACACAAUGGAUCUGGAGAGAUUGUAUUUAGAAAUGUGGGAGCAUUUUGCUGCGGGAAACAACGUGAUCAUCUCAUCAAGCCUGUGGAAAGCGCUGAACUCUCUGCUGGCUCCGAAUAUAUCGGCCAAACAUGUUGGAGAACUGCAGAGCUGACUUUCUGUGCGACAGAAGGAAGUUAUUUUAACACCUGUUGGUCUUUAGACUUUUAGUUUGAGUUUUCUUUUUUUUUUGCUAUUUGCUAAUCUUGCAAGUUGCCAUCCAAAUAUGAUACCAUGGUCAGUUUUACUUUUUCAUAUACAUUUUUAGCCUUGUAUUGCAGUAUAUUUGGGAUUUGAGCUUUUAAACUUAUUCAUUUGUGUUUGUGUCUGCUAGCUCAGUCGCAGCCUAAAACUCUUCACUAACUGCAGGUUAAAUAAUAAAUAAUAAUAAUGGUGUUCUAGUCCUUUUUAAUAUUGUUUAUAAACCACUUGUAGCCUUUUAAUGUCUGCAUCUGUUUACAAGCAAACUGUGUGUGUACGGUUGGUAUAGAUGAGAUGUCUUUAACCCUCCCCCCGUAAAUGUCUGCUUUAUUUGAUUUUCUUACCAGCCUAUUCAUGUCUUGAAUUAAUCCCUGUGUUAAUACAGUGAGAUACGAGCAGCAGUCUCCUUUGCAGGUCUGUGUAACGACAGAUGCGGUGUGCAUGUGGUAUUUGUGUUUGAAGAAAUACAAACCUUUUUUCUGUAUCUACCUUUAAAGGAAUUGUUCAGUGUAAAAAUAAAAACGGGGUAAAUAGAUAGGCUGUGCAAAAUAAA